UCCCAUUCCGAACACGGAAGUUAAGCUCGCUUCUGCCGAAAAUACUUGUCUGGAGACGGACCGGGAAGAUAGGUAGUGCCUACA
Molecule: ribosomal RNA, 84 nt
Filed under: Lawsonibacter sp.
Lineage: Bacteria; Bacillati; Bacillota; Clostridia; Eubacteriales; Oscillospiraceae
Source: RNAcentral